GAUCAUGGCUCAGGACGAACGCUGGCGGCGUGCUUAACACAUGCAAGUCGAACGAGAAUCUGCUGAAGGCGGAUUCGUCCAACGGAAGCAGAGGAAAGUGCGGACGGGUGAGUAACGCGUGAGGAACCUGCCUUGAAGAGGGGACAACAGUUGGAAACGACUGCUAAUACCGCAUGACGCAUAGAGGUCGCAUGAUCUUUAUGCCAAAGAUUUAUCGCUUCAAGAUGG
Molecule: ribosomal RNA, 228 nt
Filed under: uncultured bacterium
Lineage: Bacteria
Description: partial 16S ribosomal RNA
Rfam family: Bacterial small subunit ribosomal RNA
Source: RNAcentral